GACCUGAGUUCAGGCAAGA
RNAcentral lists this ribosomal RNA (19 nucleotides) under Elliptochloris subsphaerica subsp. subalpina. RNAcentral describes it as "partial 28S ribosomal RNA". Lineage: Eukaryota; Viridiplantae; Chlorophyta; Trebouxiophyceae. The record is from RNAcentral.